Molecule: ribosomal RNA, 496 nt
Filed under: uncultured bacterium
Lineage: Bacteria
Description: partial 16S ribosomal RNA
Rfam family: Bacterial small subunit ribosomal RNA
Source: RNAcentral
AUUGAACGCUGGCGGCAUGCUUUACACAUGCAAGUCGAACGGUAGAGGGGGCAACCCCUUGAGAGUGGCGAACGGGUGAGUAAUGCAUCGGAACGUGCCCAGUCGUGGGGGAUAACGCAGCGAAAGCUGUGCUAAUACCGCAUACGAUCUCUGGAUGAAAGCGGGGGACCGAAAGGCCUCGCGCGAUUGGAGCGGCCGAUGUCAGAUUAGGUAGGUGGUGGGGUAAAGGCUCACCAAGCCAACGAUCUGUAGCUGGUCUGAGAGGACGACCAGCCACACUGGGACUGAGACACGGCCCAGACGCCUACGGGAGGCAGCAGUGGGGAAUUUUGGACAAUGGGCGCAAGCCUGAUCCAGCAGUGCCGCGUGCAGGAAGAAGGCCUUCGGGUUGUAAACUGCUUUUGUACGGAACGAAAAGGUCUGGGUUAAUACCCUGGGCACAUGACGGUACCGUAAGAAUAAGCACCGGCUAACUACGUGCCAGCCGCCGUAACAC